AUUUCCCCACCAAUUUGUUUCCUCUGUUUCCAUUCUUUCUUCUUCAUUUUGGUGUUUUCUUCAAUUCCACUUUUUUCUUUUGUUUUCGGUUGAGUUUUAGAGUUGCUGAGGGCUCCCAUCUUCAUUCUAUUUUUUGCGAUUUUGGUUUGGGUUCUUUUUCUUUGAUUGGUCUGAUUUUAUAUGGUUUUAUUUUUGGAACAGGUUACAAUUACAACGUCGAUUUUGGCAAAGAAUUUGUGGGAGAAGUUAAGAAGAAGAUAGAGGCUCUUCAAACUAUUGGAGAUUCUCUGUAACUUCAAUCCAAGCAAGAUGGUUCAGGGUCGUGCUACUCUUACAAAGCAAUGAGUAAUCCCUUUGCAGCAUGCUCACCAAGUGUUUGAGAAUAUCACGCAGUGAAAGAUCCCCGAAACCCAAAUUCACACAGUGUGCCUUGCAUGCCCAUCAAGCCUGAUUUGAAGUGGCCGAAAGAGGCAUGGAUUCUGGGUCAAGAUGUUUCUGUCGGGUUCACUUCAAUCAUGGGAUACCAAAGAUACCACUAGAUCAUCAGAGAAAAAUUCAAUUGAAAAAAAGAUUGAAACUUAAACUGCUGAAGCGCAAACAUUUUUUAGCAAAAAAUGGGGAAGAAGAGAAAGCACAGUGAGACAACUCAUGAUGAGGCACAGCCCCAAAAGGAAUGCACACAUCUUGGUUUGAUCCGUGCCUUAGCUGUACGGACAAUGGGCUGCGUUCGUGUUGAUAAAAUUACUGAAUAUCUGUGUGAUCCCCUUCAAAGAUGCCUAAAUAUUUUGGAUAACCGUUGUACUGCUUCCAAAAAUAUUUUUUUUUCAGAAUUAAAGUAUUGAAGAGUAUUUUCCUCUAGAAAUAUGUUUCGGUAUUGAAAAGUACAUUUAAAACGGUUUAAAAUGGUUAUCUCCAA
Long non-coding RNA from Glycine soja, 916 nucleotides. RefSeq lists it as uncharacterized. The record is from RefSeq and is a predicted model, not a curated record. The transcript is spliced from 6 exons. NCBI's taxonomy places the organism in Eukaryota, Viridiplantae, Streptophyta, Magnoliopsida, Fabales, Fabaceae.